AAUUAAGAGCACUAAAGUAAUUUAAAGUGCCCACACAGUUUGUUUUCGGAAUAAUGAAGAGCCCGGUUCAUAACGUUGUGAGUGCGGCAGCACGAGCAUAAAGACAAAAUGAAUCAAGCGUUUUACAAGAGAUUUUGUUUUAAUCGAGGCGCAGGCGCGAACAAGCAAAGGGGCAUACGUCAGUAUGUGACUGAGCAAGAGAGUGCAUGCAACGAAGAGUACAACAAAAGAUCGCUGUAAAAAAGGGGUCGUAGCUCAGCUGGGAGAGCACCUGCCUUGCACGCAGGGGGUCAGGAGUUCGAUCCUCCUCGGCUCCACCAAGUUAUAAGGGUUUUCAUUCGGUUUAUUCAGAUUAAAGUAUUUUCACGAGAGUAUUUUAAUCUGGAAUAACCAGACGUUCAUUAAAAAAAUGGUAAAUAAAGAGGUAACACAAGCGUACUUGUAUUGAAACAGUGCCGUAUGAUUUGAGGUAAUUGAGAUUAUAU
Molecule: transfer RNA, 485 nt
Filed under: Fluoribacter gormanii
Lineage: Bacteria; Pseudomonadati; Pseudomonadota; Gammaproteobacteria; Legionellales; Legionellaceae
Description: partial 16S-23S ribosomal RNA intergenic spacer
Rfam family: tRNA (bases 245-317)
Source: RNAcentral